UGGGGUAUUUUGCACAAUGGGGGAAACCCUGAUGCAGCGACGCCGCGUGAUUUAGAAGGCCUUCGGGUUGUAAAAAUCUUUUCUAUGGGAAGAAAAUGACAGUACCAUAGGAAUAAGGACCGGCUAAUUACGUGCCAGCAGCCGCGGUAAUACGUAAGGUCCGAGCGUUGUCCGGAAUCAUUGGGCGUAAAGGGUACGUAGGCGGGUAAGCAAGUUAGAAGUGAAAUCCUAUAGCUCAACUAUAGUAAGCUUUUAAAACUGCUCAUCUUGAGGUAUGGAAGGGAAAGUGGAAUUCCUAGUGUAGCGGUGAAAUGCGCAGAUAUUAGGGGGAAUACCGGUGGCGAAGGCGACUUUCUGGCCAUAACCUGACGCUGAGGUACGAAAGCGUGGGUAGCAAACAGG
This 402-nucleotide ribosomal RNA is filed under the name bacterium. RNAcentral's name for it is "partial 16S ribosomal RNA". It matches the Rfam family "Bacterial small subunit ribosomal RNA", at positions 355 to 776 of the family's 1533-position model. The record is from RNAcentral.